GAUGAACGCCAGCGGGAGGCCUAACACAUGCAAGCCGAGCGGUAUUUGUUCUUCGGAACAGAGAGAGCGGCGCACGGGUCCGGAACACGUGUGCAACCUGCCUGUAUCGGGGGGAUAGCCUUUCGAAAGUCAGAUUAAUACCCCAUAAUAUAUUGAGUGUCAUCAGUUGAUAUUGAAAACUCCGGUGGAUAGAGAUGGGCACGCGCAAGAUUAGAUAGUUGGUGAGGUAACGGCGCAACAAGUCAAUGAACUUUAGGGGGCCUGAGGGGGGGAUCCCCCACACCGGUGACGAGGCGCAGACCAGAGUGCUACGGGAGGCAGCAGAGAGGAAUAGUGGACGAUGGGUUCGCGCCUGAUCCAGCCAUCACGAGUGAAGGAAGACGGCCAUAUGGGUUGCAAACUACUUUUGGAUAGGGAUAAACCUACUCUCGUGAGAGUAGCUGAAGGUACUAAACGAAGAAGCACCGGCUAACUCCGUG
This 479-nucleotide ribosomal RNA is filed under the name uncultured bacterium. Its description in RNAcentral is "partial 16S ribosomal RNA". It matches the Rfam family "Bacterial small subunit ribosomal RNA", at positions 28 to 507 of the family's 1533-position model. The record is from RNAcentral.